RNAcentral lists this ribosomal RNA (252 nucleotides) under uncultured bacterium. Its description in RNAcentral is "partial 16S ribosomal RNA". It matches the Rfam family "Bacterial small subunit ribosomal RNA", at positions 524 to 776 of the family's 1533-position model. The record is from RNAcentral.
UACGAAGGGUGCAAGCGUUACUCGGAAUUACUGGGCGUAAAGCGUGCGUAGGUGGUGAGUUGAGUCUGUCGUGAAAGCCCCGGGCUCAACCUGGAAUGGCGAUGGAUACUGGCUCGCUAGAGUGCGGUAGAGGAGAGUGGAAUUCCCGGUGUAGCAGUGAAAUGCGUAGAGAUCGGGAGGAACAUCAGUUGCGAAGGCGGCUCUCUGGACCAGCACUGACACUGAGGCACGAAAGCGUGGGGAGCAAACAGG